Microplitis mediator is the source of this 982-nucleotide long non-coding RNA. RefSeq lists it as uncharacterized. The record is from RefSeq and is a predicted model, not a curated record. Lineage: Eukaryota; Metazoa; Arthropoda; Insecta; Hymenoptera; Braconidae. The transcript is spliced from 4 exons.
UGCUCAUGCAACUCCGUAAUCGCACAUGAAAUUCUUCAUGUAUUUGAUCUUCACCAUCGCUUGCCUUUAGAUCCCUAAAUAAAUCUCAAAAAUUGGGUUUGGAUAACUCCUAAAUCGUGGAGUCAACUUGACAGUAAAAUCGAGUGCGUCGCCAGACUUUAUGCUAAAAGAUUCUGGAGAAAAGUUCAAUUCUACGGCAAUGAAGUGGACGUACAAUUUGACUGGAAUGUCACGAGAAAUGAAAACGUUGCUGAUAUUAAUGCUCUACAAAUUUCUUAUCAAACCUGGCAUACACUAACUAACGGAAGAGAUCGAGCUUUGCCAACUUUAGAUGCUCUUCGACCAAGUCAAAUGUUUUUUAUUAGUGCCGCCCAGACUUACUGUACUAACAUGACUGCCGAGGCCUAUAUCCUUUCCGUCGAGCUUGAUUAUCACACUCCGUCUCCAGAGAGAGUUAACGUUGUUAUGAUGAACUCGCCAGCUUUUGCCGAAGCUUUUCGUUUUCCUCUUGGUUCACGGAUGAAUCCGCCUAACAAAUGCAGCACAUGGUGAUAGAAAUAUUAACUAAUCAUGCAUGAUUGCUGCAGCAAUUACUAUUUUUAAAAUUGAUGGAUCAAUCACAAAAAAAAAUUGGCUCAACAUAAGAUACUUUUAGACGAUUUAUGCUGACACUUGUAGAUUUUAAUCGAUUUAAUAAUCAAUGAAUUAAAAAAUUUAUUGACUCGCCAAUAUCCAGAAAACACCAAACGGAGUAUAAAAAAAAAUUAUAAGUCGCAUAAUAAUCGUCGCGUACUUAAUUAAUACGUCAUACGUUUUAAAAGGUAGUUAAUUAUUUCACUGUAAAUAUUAUUCCCGUCUAAAAAAAACUCAUUCCAAAAAGAUUCCAAAAAAGUUCCGCAUAUGGAACUUCUAAACAUGAGACAGAUUAGAACUUCGAAUGCAACUUUUUUGGAACGUUAGUAAUUUUGAUGGUAAAAAAAAA